UGGGGAAUAUUGCACAAUGGGGGAAACCCUGAUGCAGCAACGCCGCGUGAAGGAUGACGGUUUUCGGAUUGUAAACUUCUUUUCUUAGUGACGAAGACAGUGACGGUAGCUAAGGAAUAAGCAUCGGCUAACUACGUGCCAGCAGCCGCGGUAAUACGUAGGAUGCAAGCGUUAUCCGGAUUUACUGGGUGUAAAGGGAGCGCAGGCGGGACUGCAAGUUGGAUGUGAAAUACCGUGGCUUAACCACGGAACUGCAUCCAAAACUGUAGUUCUUGAGUGAAGUAGAGGCAAGCGGAAUUCCGAGUGUAGCGGUGAAAUGCGUAGAUAUUCGGAGGAACACCAGUGGCGAAGGCGGCUUGCUGGGCUUUAACUGACGCUGAGGCUCGAAAGUGUGGGGAGCAAACAGGAUUAGAUACCCUGGUAGUCCCUGA
RNAcentral lists this ribosomal RNA (431 nucleotides) under uncultured Eubacterium sp. RNAcentral describes it as "bacterial SSU rRNA". It matches the Rfam family "Bacterial small subunit ribosomal RNA", at positions 355 to 800 of the family's 1533-position model. The record is from RNAcentral. Lineage: Bacteria; Bacillati; Bacillota; Clostridia; Eubacteriales; Eubacteriaceae.